UCAGGAUGAACGCUAGCGGCAGGCUUAACACAUGCAAGUCGAGGGGCAGCGGGGAGGAAGCUUGCUUUCUCCGCCGGCGACCGGCGCACGGGUGAGUAACACGUAUGCAACCUGCCCCUGUCAGGGGGACAACCCGCCGAAAGGCGGGCUAAACCCGCGUACAUGCCACCGGGGCAUCCCGGAGGCAGGAAAGGCUUCGGCCGGACAGGGAUGGGCAUGCGGCGCAUUAGGCAGUAGGCGGGGUAACGGCCCACCUAACCGACGAUGCGUAGGGGUUCUGAGAGGAAGGUCCCCCACACUGGUACUGAGACACGGACCAGACUCCUACGGGAGGCAGCAGUGAGGAAUAUUGGUCAAUGGUCGGGAGACUGAACCAGCCAAGCCGCGUGAGGGAUGAAGGUACAGAGUAUCGUAAACCUCUUUUGUCAGGGAACAAAGGCGGGGACGUGUCCCCGGAUGAGUGUACCUGAAGAAAAAGCAUCGGCUAACUCCGUGCCAGCAGCCGCGGUAAUACGGAGGAUGCGAGCGUUAUCCGGAUUUAUUGGGUUUAAAGGGUGCGCAGGCGGUCUGUUAAGUCAGCGGUCAAAGCCCGGGGCUCAACCCCGGCCCGCCGUUGAAACUGGCAGUCUCGAGUUGGAGAGAAGUAUGCGGAAUGCGCGGUGUAGCGGUGAAAUGCAUAGAUAUCGCGCAGAACUCCGAUUGCGAAGGCAGCAUGCCGGCUCCACACUGACGCAGGCACGAAAGCGUGGGUAUCGAACAGGAUCAGAUACCCUGGUAGUCCACGCAGUAAACGAUGAAUGCUGGCUGUCCGGGGGGGAUUGACCCCUGGGUGGCGAAGCGAAAGCGAUAAGCAUUCCACCUGGGGAGUACGCCGGCAACGGUGAAACUCAAAGGAAUUGACGGGGGCCCGCACAAGCGGAGGAACAUGUGGUUUAAUUCGAUGAUACGCGAGGAACCUUACCCGGGCUCAAACGGGGAGUGACUCAGGCAGAGACGCCUGUUUCCCACGGGACACUCCCCGAGGUGCUGCAUGGUUGUCGUCAGCUCGUGCCGUGAGGUGUCGGCUUAAGUGCCAUAACGAGCGCAACCCCCGCGUGCAGUUGCUAACAGAUAACGCUGAGGACUCUGCACGGACUGCCGGCGCAAGCCGCGAGGAAGGCGGGGAUGACGUCAAAUCAGCACGGCCCUUACGUCCGGGGCGACACACGUGUUACAAUGGGUGGUACAGCGGGAAGCCAGGCGGCGACGCCGAGCGGAACCCGAAAUCCACUCUCAGUUCGGAUCGGAGUCUGCAACCCGACUCCGUGAAGCUGGAUUCGCUAGUAAUCGCGCAUCAGCCAUGGCGCGGUGAAUACGUUUCCGGGCCUUGUACACACCGCCCGUCAAGCCAUGGGAGCCGAGGGCGCUUGAAGUGCGUCGCCGCGAGGCGCGCCCUAGAGCGAAAUCGGUGACUGGGGCUAAGUCGUAACAAGGUAACCG
This 1479-nucleotide ribosomal RNA is filed under the name uncultured bacterium. RNAcentral's name for it is "16S ribosomal RNA". It matches the Rfam family "Bacterial small subunit ribosomal RNA". The record is from RNAcentral.